GAUGAACGCUGACAGAAUGCUUAACACAUGCAAGUCUUUGGCGAAGCUGUGCUUGCACAGCCUAGCCAAGGCGGACGGGUGAGUAACGCGUAAGGAACUUGCCCUGCAGUCAGGGAUAACAGACGGAAACGACUGAUAAGACCUGGUAAAGUCAGGCGGACUCAUGUCCAGCCUGAUGAAAAGAGAUGCUGCAGGAGAGCCUUGCGUCCUAUUAGCUUGUUGGUGGGGUAACGGCCCACCAAGGCGAUGAUAGGUAGCCGGCCUGAGAGGGUGGACGGCCACAAGGGGACUGAGAUACGGCCCUUACUCCUACGGGAGGCAGCAGUGGUGAAUAUUGGACAAUGGGGGCAACCCUGAUCCAGCAAUUCUGUGUGCACGAUGAAGGUUUUCGGAUUGUAAAGUGCUUUCAGCAGGGAAGAAAAAAAUGACGGUACCUGCAGAAGAAGCGACGGCUAAAUACGUG
RNAcentral lists this ribosomal RNA (463 nucleotides) under uncultured bacterium. Its description in RNAcentral is "partial 16S ribosomal RNA". It matches the Rfam family "Bacterial small subunit ribosomal RNA", at positions 28 to 507 of the family's 1533-position model. The record is from RNAcentral.